AUGACGGUACCCGCAAAAGAAGCCCCGGCUAACUUCGUGCCAGCAGCCGCGGUAAUACGAAGGGGGCUAGCGUUGCUCGGAAUGACUGGGCGUAAAGGGCGCGUAGGCGGUUCGAUUUGUUAGGUGUGAAAUUCCUGGGCUUAACCUGGGGGCUGCACUUAAAACGGUCGGGCUUGAGUUCGGAAGAGGGUCGUGGAAUUUCCAGUGUAGAGGUGAAAUUCGUAGAUAUUGGAAAGAACACCGGUGGCGAAGGCGGCGACCUGGUCCGAUACUGACGCUGAGGCGCGAAAGCGUGGGGAGCAAACAGGAUUAGAUACCCUGGUAGUCCACGCUGUAAACGAUGUGUGCUGGAUGUUGGGUGACCUAGUCACUCAGUGUCGUAGCUAACGCGGUAAGCACACCGCCUG
Molecule: ribosomal RNA, 407 nt
Filed under: Acetobacteraceae bacterium
Lineage: Bacteria; Pseudomonadati; Pseudomonadota; Alphaproteobacteria; Acetobacterales; Acetobacteraceae
Description: bacterial SSU rRNA
Rfam family: Bacterial small subunit ribosomal RNA
Source: RNAcentral